UCCCAGCCGUAACCUCCCUUUCUUCUUUCUCGACAUAUUCUCCUCCUUACUUCUCCCACAGAACUUCUUCAAUUUCUUCUUUUACUCUUGUUCCAAAGGAAAACAGCCCCAAUUCCCCUUUAAUAUAUAUCCAUUCACGAACAAGGUUGACGGGGUUUCAAAUGGAACAAACCUGGUUUAACUGUUUGGAGUAGGAGUGGUGCUUUGAAGGAGAAGUAAAUCCAGCCCUUCAGCAUUGUCCAAUUCAAUUUAUUUAAGGUAUAUUCUCAACCCAUGAAUUUGGAGAACGGCAUUGUAUCGUAUCUGUAUGUUAGAUUAAGGUAAAAUUAUUUAGGGCUCUGAGUAUACAAUUGGGAUUUCGUAGUUGCUCACGGGUAGUACGACAUAAGAUUAUAGUUGCUGAAGGUUGAAAUUUAAUUUUGGUGAUUCAGAUUUGACGGGUGAAGGUUCGUUGGGUUGUCGCGAAAUUGCUGAGGACGGUCCAGUUGGCUCGUUAUAGCUGUGAGUGAUUUUUCAAUCACUGUGACUUACUUUUAAUAAUUAUACGACUGAUGAUUUGAUUAUUUUAGCAUAUUGCAUAUUUAUUUAAAUUGGGGAAACAUACUUUACAAUUCGUGAAUUAUCUGAAAGCUGGUUUUAUGAAAAUGAUCUGAGUCUGAUUCUGAACUGACAUGAGAAAUAUAUUUAUAUUGUUUUGAUUUUGGAAAUUAUGUGAAACUGAGAUUGUGAAAUUGGAAAGUUGAUUUUGGGACUUCUGAUGAGACUUGAACUGGUUUGAGAAAACGGUUUUGGGGAUCCUUGAUAGAACCCCGUAGCCGUUAGCGGAGGUAACGGCCUAGGUGCACCUAGCUAGUUUGAUUUCGGGAGGAGAGGGCUAUCCGUUAGAUGGAGCCGCCAGUGCACGGAAAGGGCUAUCAACGAGAUGUAGCUUCCCCCGAUGAUAUGAUACGAUGUGACAUGUGAUACGAGAGAGGAAAUGGCUAUCCGUUAGAUGGAGCCGCCCCUAUCGGAUAGGCUAUCCCUUAGGAGGAGAGGGCUAUCAACGAGAUGGAGCCGCCUCACGGUUCUACAUGUGUGACCCUAUUAAAUUAUAUUUCUGAUUUUUAAAUGCUUUCAUAUGACUGACAUGAUUUUUAUUCAGUUUCAUUGAAACAGUUAUUUAUAAACUUGGCAGUUUGAUCAUCUCUUAUUGGAAAUGCUGCUUAUUAAUUUUAUUAAUAUGAUAUAUUUUAUCCACUCUGAACUGAUAGUGAAAAACUCGUGCUUCAUAUGUUUCCCUUUCCUGUUCAUGGUGGUUGUUAAAUCCUCACUAAGUCUUUGUGACUUACCCCUUUAUUAUUCCAUCCACAGAUUCUUCAGCAGCUGUGUAGCAAGCUGUUCUUGGAUUCAGAUUGUCAGUUGUCUUGCUGGUAGGCCUCCAUCAGCUGGUGGCCUCAUUGCUAUGUUACUUCUUUGAUUCUAGUUAUCUGCAGCUAUAGGGAGUCAUAAGUGAAUUUAGUUUGGGGUGGACGGUAUCUUCUUAAUUUUAAAGGUUGACAUUGAGCGUCGAAUUUUGGUUUUGUACCUUUUCUUGAAAUUUGGAUUUGGAGAAUAUUAUUUAGCAGGUUAUGUUAUUUUGAGAUUACUGAAAUACAAAGGAGACUCUGUCUUUUUUUAUAAAUUUAUGCGGACGUAUUUAUCGUGGUGAAUUGGUUAUAAAUGGGUUAUGUGUAAAGGGCUUGCCGGACUUGGGUGAUAGUCUGUGCGCCGGUCACGGCUUGAGAUUUUUGGGUCGUGACAAAGUUGGUAUCAGAGCUUUGGCUGUAGGUCCUAUUAGCUGCAGACAUGAGGUAGUGAUAUAAUCUUUCUAGUAAAUUGUGAACCGCGGCACAACUUACUUCAAAGAUGCUAUUAACGCCCCAUGAGAGUCCUAAAGUUGUUUCCAAAGUGUGAUUUGAGUUUGUUCCUCAUUCACUGAAUUCUGAGUCAUGUGUUAUGUUUGAUGAAUAUUCUUUGUUCUGUGAGGAUACCACCUAAAUUAGGAUUUCUAUUCGAAGACGAUUAGCUUGUUAGGUCCCUCUGUAGGCAUUUAUGGUCGGCAGUGUUCGACAGUGUAGUACAAGGUAAAGACCAUCGCAUAAAGACGUUGGUUGUUCGUUGAUGUAGGAAUAGUUAAGGUGUUUAUAUCGAGACAAUGAAAUUCAUGAAUGAUAGAGUUUGCAACUGGUUUGAAGGGAUUACUACAUGAUGUGAAACGAUGUAUUGGAGUUGUUAUUGAGCAGCAACAAGAGAACCAACUCGAGACAAUUUAGGAGCGUUGACCAAGGGUUAGACAAAAGGAGAAACAACAAGUAGGUGUCAUUGGAGAGAUUGAUGUCAUAUUGGUUGUUCACAUUAAGCUUAAUUCUCAUGUUUUUUCUAGUACUAGUGCAAUCGUGGAUCAUAGGGGUUUAUUGAUGCUUUUGAGAGUCUGUGGAGAGCACUUGGAUGCUCACACAUGCAAUAGAGUUAACAUCAUUCCAGUUGAAGGUUGUAGAAUAUGAUUGCCUUGAUGACUUUGUGAGUACGAGAGCGGUAAAGGAUUUGGUAGUCGAGGUUAGAAGCCAAGCUUGAGUCAUUAUUGUUACUCGUCAGGAUACUCAGGAAACCAAUGCAGUGGUCACGAGAUUAGUUCGAUAUGUCCUUGAGAUAUUCAUGUUUGUUUGAUCCUGAAGCUAUUCUCUCUUUGGUAUAAUUGUUGUUCACUUCUUAACUUAAUACAUUAUAUCCUUCUUGAACAUGACGUUGAUUGUUGCUACACUUCUUAGAGAGUUUUUAUAGAUGAUUAUGUUCAUUGUUAACUUGAGGCAUCCAUUAGGGAUUGAGAGUUGUUGGUAGGAAUGAUAGCUUUAAACAUUUUUUAUUUUGAUGUGAUCUCUGGGUAUCAUGAUGUUUUGGACUGGAAUAGCAAAGUAAUGAGAUUUGAAUUACUUAGAGAGUUUCUUUCUUAUUUAGGGAGAGUGAAGUUGGGAACCAUGUAAUCUAAUUUUAGUGUCGAAGUUAGAAGGUUACUAACGAAGGGUUGUCAUGGAUACUUGACUUUGGGUAAAGGAUACUCAAGCAGUUGAAAUAAAAACAAAAGAGAUUCUCGUAGUGUGUGAAAUUCUUAAUGCAUUUUGGGAGAAUUUCCUAAGGUACCAUAAAGUUUUCCAUAAAUCUGGUUCUUGACACUAGUUUUGUUUGUGAAGAAGAAAUAUCUACUAUGCAGUUAACUAUGCAGUUAUGUGAUGACUACAUGCAAUUGGAUUAUGUGACAAUACCUAACAAAUCUCUUUUACCUCAUUUAGAUGAAUGGUCUGAUUGAUGAUAAGGAGCUCAACAUUUUGAAAGAAAAAAAAGAAAGGGACUUGGUGAUGUUUAAAGUGGCUAUGUUUCACAGUUUCCAAUAGACUUUGAUGAUGUUUUACAAUUUUAAUAUUGGUUGUGUGUGCUUAAUAGGAACUCUAUUUCACAGUUUCACAGUUCCUAUGUUUCAUAGGAACUUUGUGCUGUUCAAAGGUGGGGGGUUGGAAUUUUCAGGACCUCUUGAUCAUAUCAAGUUUAGAUCAUGGUUGUGGCUUAAGGCCAGGAAUGAAUGGUUUAGCGCUUCAUUUGUUGAAUGGAGCAUGGACUCUCUUUCUGUUUUCUAGAAACUACAUAAAUUCAGCCAAGAACUUUGAUCGUUUGGUCUCUCGUUGUGUUGCUGUGAAACUGGUUUAGUGCUGUUGUCAGUUUAAAUUUGAUUGUGCUGGUAGAGUGGUAGGGAUUAUAGUGAUCCAAUUCAAGGUCCAUUUCUGCUGGGGGAACGUGGCUUCCAUAAAAUUAAUUAGGGACACAAAUCUUCCUUGGUUCUGAAUAUAUUGGUGGUUGGAGAUCAUUGUUACUUCUCUUAUUGGUUACAUGUUGUUCUGUAGCAGGUCCAAUUCAUUUCCCUGGGCAUGUGUUGAUGGUUUUAAUAGCACCAUGAAUAAGUUCCGCAUUGUGGGUUGGAAGGGUCUGUAGGUGGAAUAUCUAAGUGUGUCUUCUACAUUGCUAAGGUAGAAUUUUCCAUUUAAUUUGUCUCCUAGAUUGAUCCUUUUGUACUUGGGUUAGGGCACCCCUUGUGCUCCCUAUUAAUUCAUUUGCUUAUAAAAAAAAAAAGAGUUUGAGGAGGGAAAUAUUAGAGGACUUCUAUCAUUAUUUUUAAACCAUACAUUCUAGUUCUAGUAGACUGUAUCAAGAUGUGAAGGAAUUUUGUCGGUGCGAAGGAAUGAAGAAAGACAUAGUGAAUUUUGUUUAUAAAUGUUUAGUAUGACAUGGAUUGAAGGAUAAGCACUAAGAACUAGAAGAGCUAGGUCAAUUUAUCGAGAUAUCACUAUGGAAGUUGGAAAGUAUUGUUGUGAAUUUGGUGACAAGUUUUUUUAGGAUCAAAGGUUAUGAUUAUAUUUAGGUAAUCAUGGAUUAGUUGAUUAAGUUUGCAUAUUUCUUAUAAGUGAACACUACUUACAUUGCAACUCAAUAUGCUAAGUGUCGUUUGGAUGAGAUUAUUUCUUGCAUGGUGUACCCUUAGUUAUGUGUUCAUAUUGAGGAACUAUAUUCACUUUUUAGUUUUUCAAAUCGUUUCGAACUGCUUUAGGAACUCACUUGACAAUGAGGAUAGGUUUCCAUUCCCAAACAGGUGGCCAUUCUUAGAGACUAUUCAAAUCUUAUAGGAUAUGUUUCGUGUUUGUGUUUUAGACCUUAGAGAUAGUUGUGAUGAUUAUUUAACCCGGAUCAAGCUUGAUUAUAAUAACAAUUAUCAGUCUUGUAUUAAGAUGGCACCAUUUGAAGCCUUAUAUGGUAGGAGAUGAAGAUCACCUAUAGGUUGGUUCGAGGUUGGAGAAGCUAAACUUGUAGGCUCAGAACUUAUUCAGGACGCAAUAGAGAAGAUUAAGAUAGUUCGAGACCGCUUGGUUACAACUCAAAGUAGGCAGAAGUCAUAUGCUGAUAAGAGGCGACGCCCUUUGGAGUUUGCAGUUGGUGACCAUGUCUUUUUACGUGUUUCUCCAAUGAAAGGAGUGCUACGGUUUGGUAAAAAGGGAAAACUGAGUCCAAGGUUCAUUGGACCGUUUGAGGUAUUGGAGAGGGUUGGUUCUGUAUCUUAUCGUUUGGCACUUCCGCCAGAUCUUUCUGCAGUUCAUCCAGUCUUUCAUGUUUCUAUGCUGCGGAAGUACCUAUAUGAUCCUUCUCACAUCAUCCAUCAUGAGGAUGUACACGGAGCAUCCAGUAGCUAUAGUUGAUAGACAAGUGAAACGUCUACGUUCUAAAGAUGUUGGUUCAGUAAAAGUUCUUUGGAAAGGACCAUCGAGUGAAGAGGCGACUUGGGAGGCCGAGGAUAUCAUGCGGGAAAAGUAUCCCCACUUGUUCGAAUCUCAAGGUUAGUGUGACUUUAAAAUUCGAGGACGAAUUUUAUAUAAGGAGGGAAGAUUGAAACGACCCGUUUAAUGUUUAUGAGCUUAAUUAUUAUAAUUGUCAUUAUCAUAUUAUAUUAUAUAAAAGUGAUUAUGCAAGGAUGGGGGAGGAAAAAAAAAAACGUGGUCUGAUUGAAAAGGGGGUGGGGUCACGUAACCCACCUUUUGUUUUUGAAAAUAAGAUACCCUAAUUGUUUAAAGAAAAACCAUUGAACCUACUCCCAAUAUUUCUUUCCCAGCCGUAACCUCCCUUUCUUCUUUCUCGACAUAUUCUCCUCCUUACUUCUCCCACAGAACUUCUUCAAUUUCUUCUUUUACUCUUGUUCCAAAGGAAAACAGCCCCAAUUCCCCUUUAAUAUAUAUCCAUUCACGAACAAGGUUGACGGGGUUUCAAAUGGAACAAACCUGGUUUAACUGUUUGGAGUAGGAGUGGUGCUUUGAAGGAGAAGUAAAUCCAGCCCUUCAGCAUUGUCCAAUUCAAUUUAUUUAAGGUAUAUUCUCAACCCAUGAAUUUGGAGAACGGCAUUGUAUCGUAUCUGUAUGUUAGAUUAAGGUAAAAUUAUUUAGGGCUCUGAGUAUACAAUUGGGAUUUCGUAGUUGCUCACGGGUAGUACGACAUAAGAUUAUAGUUGCUGAAGGUUGAAAUUUAAUUUUGGUGAUUCAGAUUUGACGGGUGAAGGUUCGUUGGGUUGUCGCGAAAUUGCUGAGGACGGUCCAGUUGGCUCGUUAUAGCUGUGAGUGAUUUUUCAAUCACUGUGACUUACUUUUAAUAAUUAUACGACUGAUGAUUUGAUUAUUUUAGCAUAUUGCAUAUUUAUUUAAAUUGGGGAAACAUACUUUACAAUUCGUGAAUUAUCUGAAAGCUGGUUUUAUGAAAAUGAUCUGAGUCUGAUUCUGAACUGACAUGAGAAAUAUAUUUAUAUUGUUUUGAUUUUGGAAAUUAUGUGAAACUGAGAUUGUGAAAUUGGAAAGUUGAUUUUGGGACUUCUGAUGAGACUUGAACUGGUUUGAGAAAACGGUUUUGGGGAUCCUUGAUAGAACCCCGUAGCCGUUAGCGGAGGUAACGGCCUAGGUGCACCUAGCUAGUUUGAUUUCGGGAGGAGAGGGCUAUCCGUUAGAUGGAGCCGCCAGUGCACGGAAAGGGCUAUCAACGAGAUGUAGCUUCCCCCGAUGAUAUGAUACGAUGUGACAUGUGAUACGAGAGAGGAAAUGGCUAUCCGUUAGAUGGAGCCGCCCCUAUCGGAUAGGCUAUCCCUUAGGAGGAGAGGGCUAUCAACGAGAUGGAGCCGCCUCACGGUUCUACAUGUGUGACCCUAUUAAAUUAUAUUUCUGAUUUUUAAAUGCUUUCAUAUGACUGACAUGAUUUUUAUUCAGUUUCAUUGAAACAGUUAUUUAUAAACUUGGCAGUUUGAUCAUCUCUUAUUGGAAAUGCUGCUUAUUAAUUUUAUUAAUAUGAUAUAUUUUAUCCACUCUGAACUGAUAGUGAAAAACUCGUGCUUCAUAUGUUUCCCUUUCCUGUUCAUGGUGGUUGUUAAAUCCUCACUAAGUCUUUGUGACUUACCCCUUUAUUAUUCCAUCCACAGAUUCUUCAGCAGCUGUGUAGCAAGCUGUUCUUGGAUUCAGAUUGUCAGUUGUCUUGCUGGUAGGCCUCCAUCAGCUGGUGGCCUCAUUGCUAUGUUACUUCUUUGAUUCUAGUUAUCUGCAGCUAUAGGGAGUCAUAAGUGAAUUUAGUUUGGGGUGGACGGUAUCUUCUUAAUUUUAAAGGUUGACAUUGAGCGUCGAAUUUUGGUUUUGUACCUUUUCUUGAAAUUUGGAUUUGGAGAAUAUUAUUUAGCAGGUUAUGUUAUUUUGAGAUUACUGAAAUACAAAGGAGACUCUGUCUUUUUUUAUAAAUUUAUGCGGACGUAUUUAUCGUGGUGAAUUGGUUAUAAAU
Molecule: long non-coding RNA, 7359 nt
Filed under: Lotus japonicus
Lineage: Eukaryota; Viridiplantae; Streptophyta; Magnoliopsida; Fabales; Fabaceae
Description: long non-coding RNA (LJAP_LNC000063)
Source: RNAcentral